This 429-nucleotide ribosomal RNA is filed under the name Gemmatimonadota bacterium. RNAcentral describes it as "Gemmatimonadetes bacterium partial 16S ribosomal RNA". It matches the Rfam family "Bacterial small subunit ribosomal RNA", at positions 355 to 776 of the family's 1533-position model. Lineage: Bacteria; Pseudomonadati; Gemmatimonadota. The record is from RNAcentral.
UAGGGAAUCUUCGGCAAUGGACGAAAGUCUGACCGAGCAACGCCGCGUGAGUGAAGAAGGUUUUCGGAUCGUAAAACUCUGUUGUUAGAGAAGAACAAGGACGUUAGUAACUGAACGUCCCCUGACGGUAUCUAACCAGAAAGCCACGGCUAACUACGUGCCAGCAGCCGCGGUAAUACGUAGGUGGCAAGCGUUGUCCGGAUUUAUUGGGCGUAAAGCGAGCGCAGGCGGUUUCUUAAGUCUGAUGUGAAAGCCCCCGGCUAAACCGGGGAAGGUCAUUGGAAACUGGGAGACUUGAGUGCAGAAGAGGAGAGUGGAAUUCCAUGUGUAGCGGUGAAAUGCGUAGAUAUAUGGAGGAACACCAGUGGCGAAGGCGGCUCUCUGGUCUGUAACUGACGCUGAGGCUCGAAAGCGUGGGGAGCAAACAGG